RNAcentral lists this unclassified non-coding RNA (259 nucleotides) under Hevea brasiliensis (rubber tree). The record is from RNAcentral. Lineage: Eukaryota; Viridiplantae; Streptophyta; Magnoliopsida; Malpighiales; Euphorbiaceae.
GGCUUUCUUCCUAGUCCCCAGUAUCACAUGAAUUCUUAACAUACAAGACUCAAGUCAAUAAAUCCAUGGCAGACACGAAUGGAAGUUAACAAGUUAUUAAGACAUAAUUUUCUCCUAUACAAGUUCUCUUGUGCCAUGAAAAACAAGCCAUUUGUGAAAUAUAUAGCUUGUUGAAUAUGUGAAUCAAAGAUUUCACAGUAUUUUAUUUCUGCAGCUUAUUUUGAAAAACACAAUAUAAAAUAUGAGAUAUUACUCCCUU